UGGGGAAUAUUGCACAAUGGGCGCAAGCCUGAUGCAGCCAUGCCGCGUGUAUGAAGAAGGCCUUCGGGUUGUAAAGUACUUUCAGCGGGGAGGAAGGCGAUAAGGUUAAUAACCUUGUCGAUUGACGUUACCCGCAGAAGAAGCACCGGCUAACUCCGUGCCAGCAGCCGCGGUAAUACGGAGGGUGCAAGCGUUAAUCGGAAUUACUGGGCGUAAAGCGCACGCAGGCGGUCUGUCAAGUCGGAUGUGAAAUCCCCGGGCUCAACCUGGGAACUGCAUUCGAAACUGGCAGGCUAGAGUCUUGUAGAGGGGGGUAGAAUUCCAGGUGUAGCGGUAAAAUGCGUAGAGAUCUGGAGGAAUACCGGUGGCGAAGGCGGCCCCCUGGACAAAGACUGACGCUCAGGUGCGAAAGCGUGGGGAGCAAACAGG
This 429-nucleotide ribosomal RNA is filed under the name Chloroflexota bacterium. RNAcentral describes it as "Chloroflexi bacterium partial 16S ribosomal RNA". It matches the Rfam family "Bacterial small subunit ribosomal RNA", at positions 355 to 776 of the family's 1533-position model. Lineage: Bacteria; Bacillati; Chloroflexota. The record is from RNAcentral.